GAUGAACGCUGGCGGCGUGCCUAAUACAUGCAAGUCGAGCGAACAGACGAGGCGCUUGCUCCUCUGACGUUAGCGGCGGACGGGUGAGUAACACGUGGAUAACCUACCUAUAAGACUGGGAUAACUUCGGGAAACCGGAGCUAAUACCGGAUAAUAUAUUCAACCGCAUGGUUCAAUAGUGAAAGACGGUUUUGCUGUCACUUAUAGAUGGAUCCGCGCCGCAUUAGCUAGUUGGUAAGGUAACGGCUUACCAAGGCAACGAUGCGUAGCCGACCUGAGAGGGUGAUCGGCCACACUGGAACUGAGACACGGUCCAGACUCCUACGGGAGGCAGCAGUAGGGAAUCUUCCGCAAUGGGCGAAAGCCUGACGGAGCAACGCCGCGUGAGUGAUGAAGGUCUUCGGAUCGUAAAACUCUGUUAUUAGGGAAGAACAAAUGUGUAAGUAACUAUGCACGUCUUGACGGUACCUAAUCAGAAAGCCACGGCUAACUACGUG
RNAcentral lists this ribosomal RNA (497 nucleotides) under uncultured bacterium. RNAcentral describes it as "partial 16S ribosomal RNA". It matches the Rfam family "Bacterial small subunit ribosomal RNA", at positions 28 to 507 of the family's 1533-position model. The record is from RNAcentral.